Otolemur garnettii (small-eared galago) is the source of this 3886-nucleotide RNA transcript. It is a transcript of the gene named protein kinase C and casein kinase substrate in neurons 2, with no coding region annotated. The record is from RefSeq and is a predicted model, not a curated record. The transcript has 10 exons. NCBI's taxonomy places the organism in Eukaryota, Metazoa, Chordata, Mammalia, Primates, Galagidae.
AAGCCUCAGUAGGCGGAGCGCAGCCGGAGAACCUGGUGCCUACAGCGAAUGCAGCAGUGCAGGGGAAUGACCUUAUCUCAGCAGCCAACAGGAAAUGAUGAAAUGUGCUAGGAGAAUUCAGCUGAGAGAGGAGGUCGGAUGUACCAGCAGGGUUGGGAAGAGGCAGGUACGGAAGCUGAUCUGCAAAGUUCGCUGGCGACUGACAGAAAAACGUUCGUCUGCAGAUUCUGAGCAUCCGGAGUUGACUCUCUGAAUCUAAGCAUUCCCUGCUGCCCCCUCACCCUUUGAAGAAAUGUCUGUCACUUAUGAUGAUUCCGUUGGAGUAGAAGUGUCCAGUGAUAGCUUCUGGGAGGUCGGGAACUAUAAGCGGACCGUGAAGCGGAUUGACGAUGGCCACCGCCUGUGCAGUGACCUCAUGAACUGCCUGCACGAGCGGGCACGCAUUGAGAAGGCAUAUGCGCAGCAGCUCACUGAGUGGGCCCGGCGCUGGAGGCAGCUUGUGGAGAAAGGGCCACAGUAUGGAACAGUGGAGAAGGCCUGGGUGGCCAUGAUGUCUGAGGCAGAGAAGGUGAGUGAGCUGCACCUCGAGGUGAAGGCCUCACUGAUGAAUGAGGACUUUGAAAAGAUCAAGAAUUGGCAGAAGGAAGCCUUUCACAAACAGAUGAUGGGGGGCUUUAAGGAGACCAAGGAGGCUGAGGACGGCUUUCGCAAGGCACAGAAGCCCUGGGCCAAGAAGCUGAAAGAGAUGGAGGCAGCAAAGAAAGCCUACCACGCAGCGUGCAAAGAGGAGAAGCUGGCCAUCUCCCGGGAGGCCAACAGCAAAGCGGACCCCUCCCUUAACCCAGAGCAGCUCAAGAAAUUACAAGACAAAGUAGAGAAAUGCAAGCAAGACGUUCUCAAGACCAAAGAGAAGUACGAGAAGUCCCUGAAGGAGCUGGACCAGGGCACGCCCCAGUACAUGGAGAACAUGGAGCAGGUGUUCGAACAGUGCCAGCAGUUUGAGGAGAAGCGCCUGCGCUUCUUCCGGGAGGUUCUGCUGGAGGUUCAGAAGCACCUAGACCUGUCCAAUGUGUCCAGCUACAAAACCAUCUACCGGGACCUGGAGCAGAAUAUCAAGGCAGCUGACGCAGUGGAGGACCUGAGGUGGUUCAGAGCCAAUCACGGGCCAGGCAUGGCCAUGAACUGGCCACAGUUUGAGGAGUGGUCCGCAGACCUGAAUCGAACUCUCAGCCGGAGAGAGAAGAAGAAGGCUGCUGAUGGUGUCACCCUGACAGGCAUCAACCAGACAGGUGACCAGUCCCUGCAGAACAAGUCUAGCAGCAACCUUAGUGUCCCGAGCAACCCCGCGCAGUCACAGUCCAGCUACAACCCCUUCGAGGAUGAGGACGACACGGGCAGCACCGUCAGUGAGAAGGAGGACAUUAAGACCAAAAAGUUGGUGAACAAAUGCUUCCCUCUAGUUCCCACCUCGCUGUCUCUCUCCCUCUCUCUCUGUCCAGGGCUCUGGCCCAAUAUCUUGCCCCUCAGCACCCAGCAGCGCAUGAAGCCCUGCAGGAGGCGGGCACCUGGCACAGUGCACGGGACUGGCACCGCUAACAAUCUGGUUGCUUUUUCUCUGUCCUCUGUUAACCCUUCAAGGCCCGGGCACCACCUUGGCACACCAGAAGACGACAGAUGGGCAGUCUGUGCUGGGGACCUGCAGGAGCAGGGACCUCCGGGCUGCCUCUGGGGCACUGGUGUGGGUCACCACCAGCCGCCUGCUCUUACCUAUUGGUGGCUCAGGUUGAGUGUGAAUGGCAUGAAUUCUCACCAGGGCCUGGCUCCAUCCAUGCUGUCACGCAGAGGGAGCUGUACGCCUUCAGAAAGAGUCCUGAGCCCUGUGCCUCACAGCGCCUGCACCCUCCCCUCACAGGGGCAGAGGCUCUGGGUGGGGGCCUCACGCCCUCUGCCAGCCCUGGCUGAGGCCCCUGUGUCAACCCCUUUCUUACAGUGUGAGCAGCUACGAGAAGACCCAGAACUACCCCACCGACUGGUCAGAUGACGAGUCCAACAACCCGUUCUCCUCCACGGAUGCCAAUGGGGAUUCAAACCCAUUCGAUGAGGAUACCACUUCAGGGACGGAAGUGCGAGUCCGGGCCCUUUAUGACUACGAGGGUCAGGAGCAUGAUGAGCUAAGCUUCAAGGCCGGGGACGAGCUGACCAAGAUGGAGGAUGAAGAUGAGCAAGGCUGGUGCAAGGGACGCUUGGACAAUGGGCAGGUUGGCCUAUACCCAGCAAAUUAUGUGGAGGAGAUUCAGUGACAGGCCAGGGCCAGGCCGGCAGAGGGACGGAGGCGGUGGCCCAGGAGCUCCAGUGCCUCCCACCGGCCAUGUGGGUGUCCACUCCUAUUCCUGCAGAAGAUGAAGGUCCGUUGCUCUUGGCUUCAUGGUGUCCCUGGCAGUCAGACAGCUGGUCAUUUCACCUGGGGCUCGGCACCUUUCCAAGUGCAGCUGCAGGGAUCUGAGCGCAGGAAGAUGCAAAGCAACAGAGAAGCAGCCGGCCCCCUGCCGCCGCCUGCUGCGUUUGUCGGCUUAUCAUGGAUCUGUGUAUUCUUGACCUUGUCUCUCCUCUCCUCCGAGUCAAUGGUGGGUUAUGCUGAUUCUAGUUCACUGAUCACUUUCUCUGGUGAGUCCCGUCACUUGCAACUUAAAUGAACAAACUUAGAUGCCAUUUUCUGAGUAAAGAUUUUGAGGUUUUUAAUUUAAAGGCUGUGUACAGUUAUACUUUUUUUAUACCUGUUCUUCCAUUCGUUUAUACUUAAAUUAUGGCACAGACUAGCGUAGGAAUUGGUCUUGAGGAUUGGUAUCUCUACUUCCGUGCUGUGCCAUUAAUCAGCCAUGCCACUGUGUGGGUAAGCUGCAAGGGGUGAAGCUCAUGACGAUGUUGGAGGUGGGAAGUUGUAGAAAGAUGGGCACAUUAUGGACUCCUACUGUGAGUGCCCUUUCUGUAUGGGGGUGACUGAAUGCAAGUUUCAGAUAUAGCCAUAGCUAGUAUAGCCCCCAAAAGUCGCCAUAUUUAAAAUUUUUCACUUUAAUUUUGCUUAAAACUUUACUCUUUUGCAAAUUAACAGCUUUAUCAGUGAUUUGGAAGGUUAAAAAGUAAUAAGACUAACUUUUCAAGCAAAUGCAUUUGUGUCUUGGUGUCUAUCUGUACAUAUUACUUGAUAUCCAGAGAAUCUAAAGAUUCUGUCUACUGUUUUGAUGAGAUUUGACAGCGGGUUUCAUUUGUGAAUGGCAUGACGUCUGUGGCGUUUGGGCACAGGCCUGACUGGCCAACUGGACCUUCUCCCAGGCUCAGAUGUGUGUCUGGGCCCCUCUGACGUGGAAACUUCAGGAGAGAGACUUAAUGUAUCCUUACUGGCUGGCCUCAGGCCCUGCUUCUGCCUGGCCUUCAUCCUUGGUCCCGCAGCAGAGCACUGCAAACACCGCAUCUUUGCAGCAGCCGCAAACUUCACAGUCGUCUGUAUUCCUUGUGGGCAAACAAAAGCUGGAUCUCACCCACAGCACAGGCCUCUCUGAGUGUCCUUAGUCUCCAGAGAGCCAGGAGUGCUGUGGUCCAAGCUACACUGUGGUCACGUGGUGGGCAAGGCGGGUGGGACUUUAUUUUGUGUGUCUCAGACCCUGGGCCUGUCCUGCCAGUCACAAGCUAUGCAUUUACCCUAUUUCCAGCGAACUUAAUGUCUUGCUGGGAGGUGGAUAUGUGUCUGUGUCUUUGUCUGUCAUAAAACUUACCAGCAGAAGUCCUCAUUCCUAUGCUACAGAUUUACCAAAAAUUGUCAAGUCUUUUAAGUUUAGUUCCUUUAAAUGUAUAGUAUUUUAGGGGAAAAAAAAAUCAAUAAAUGGUUGAU